GUAGAAAUACAAAAGCUUCCGUUAAAAUUUUGUAAAUUCAAAUAUUCGUAACUACUUACAUUUUUUAGAUAACUCGACCAAUAAAUGUUUCAACCAGCCCGUUAGCGCGUUUUUUACACGCCUUCCGAGAGGAAUGGUGUGGUACCCCAUGGUCAUACGUUCAUCUAUCCAAAAAGUACGGGUUCUCGUUUAUGGCUUUUUGUUCUCCGAAUAAGAAAUUCGGCCCAAACCGGCUAGUCCCGGCGGGAAAGCGCUUAGAUGGUGUCGCCGAUCCGAAAGAUGGGUGUCGUUCCCGCCUAUACGUCCCGUAAGACCGACCGAAAAAAACUCGUGCCAUUACCUUUCAUAAAAUCAGUCUAGUGUAUGGUAGUAUACGACCUAGCUACCGGGCCGCAGUUACUUCCUAUUAUCCGGUAACAUAUUGUUAAUCGUUUUGGUUAAUAACACGGGGGCCGCGAGAAAUCGCGUGGAGGGCCGCCAGUUCGACAUCCCGCUGUAAAAUAACCCGGGUGUUCCGUAAAAAUUUCGGGAUGGAUCGAAUAUACCGGGAUAGAAAAAGUUUGCGAAAGGUUGGUUUAGAUAACCACGGCGGAAUACCGCUGUAACCGAGAAACCUGUGGUAGGAUUUACGUGAUAAUAUAGAAUUUCGGCAGAAACUCCGCCCGUUUAGUGCAGCCGUCUUUGUCCGCCGCCGUCCCGGUAGAAAGGGCUGGAGGAUGGUCUCCUACCGCCGGACCCGGCCGAAGAUACCGUAGGGUGUACCGGGUUGGGUGGACGGAUGCCACACCUCGGAGUUUUUCCGAAAGGGCCCCUUCCCCGCCGGCCCGUCCCGGUGGGAAGACCGUAGGUGCCGAAACUGGCCGGUGCCCAGUAGACGGACGCGACUAUUUUUUCUUAAUAGCAGUUAAUUUGUAUCGGCUGGACGCGUCGGGCCAGCGGCCAGAAUGCUGGGUUGUCGGCUAGGUGGCCGAAUGGAGUAACAGGUAGCCGGACCACUUUCCACACACCACUUUUACCGCCGGUAGUCCGUCGACCGACCCGGCCGGAAAGAGGACCAAGUUGGGCCUGGGUCAGCCUGGGCCCCUCACUUCUACCGCUCCGGUUUCUUACUGGCUUUACCGGCGGUGGGACCACCCACCCUUUGGUUAUGGGAGGAAGAUUUCCACCGCCGGCCUUUCUGGGAAGAGCGUGCGAGACCAGCCGCCACCAGGAUCGGCGGUAGCCCCGAAAUAACCGGACGGAUGUUUCGACCGAACACCGCCCGACAGGAAUGCCCAAAAAACGGGACACGCGAGUCGAUCGAGCCCGCGGUAACCCACCGGCCGUCGACGGAGAAUUUCUCCGGGUCCGCCGAUAUAAUCGGUUUCACCUUCCGAGUGUCUACCCCGAACCGGAAGACCAAACACCCAGUUUCUUCUCACGUUCCGAGACGCGCCCAGUCGCUUCCCGCACUUUUAAUGUUUUUAGUCGGGAUGGUCGGUAACGGUGCGCUUGUGGGUGGAGGAGAAGAGCCGGUUAUUUCUUCUGCUCCGAUUAUCCGGCCACUCGGACCCAUGGCCAAACCCAGUCCCGGUGGCUCCGUGGAAAACUAUCCGAAUUCCCAAGCGGAACACCGACCGAAAAAUAGUCAAAACGGCCCGAUUGCUCCGGCCGAAAGGGCGGCCCGGCG
RNAcentral lists this long non-coding RNA (1669 nucleotides) under Androctonus crassicauda. Lineage: Eukaryota; Metazoa; Arthropoda; Arachnida; Scorpiones; Buthidae. The record is from RNAcentral.